CGCUCCCCGGCCGUUCCCCGGUGUGUCGUCACGGCGCGCCGCUGGGUGAGUGCCGGGGCCUGGCGCGCAGCUGAGGGCGGCGGCGGGGCGCGAAGCAGCCCAGCGCCGGCCAUGGCGCCGCCGCCGCCGCCGCAGAAGGAGAUCGUCUACAACAAGCUGCUGCCCUACGGGGAGCGCCUGGAGGCCGAGGCCGCCCGCUUCCUCGCGCAGAUCAAAGACAACCUGGCCCGGGCCGUGCAGCUCCAGGAGCUGUGGCCCGGCGGGCUCUUCUGGACCAGGAAGCUCUCGACAUACAUCCGAUUAUAUGGGAGAAAAUUUAGCAGAGAAGAUCAUGUGCUUUUUAUCAAAUUGUUGUAUGAGCUGGUAACAAUUCCAAAACUGGAGAUCAGCAUGAUGCAAGGAUUUGCACGCCUGUUGAUAAACCUGUUAAAGAAAAAAGAACUGCUUUCCAGGGAUGAUUUAGAGUUACCAUGGAGACCGCUUUAUGAAAUGCUGGAAAGGAUAUUAUACUCCAAAACAGAACAUCUUGGAUUAAAUUGGUUUCCCAAUUCUGUAGAAAGUGUUCUGAAAACACUUGUGAAGAGCUGCAGACCAUAUUUUCCAGAAGAUGCCACUGCGGAGAUGCUAGAUGAAUGGAGGCCUUUAAUGUGUCCAUUUGAUGUUACCAUGCAAAAGGCUAUUACCUACUUUGAACUAUUUCUACCUACUACCCUUCCUCCUGAACUUCACCAGAAAGGUUUCAAGCUUUGGUUUGAUGAAUUUAUAGGCCUUUGGGUGUCAGUUCAAAAUCUUCCCCAGUGGGAAGGGCAUCUAGUAAAUCUGUUUGCUCGCUUGGCCACUGACAACAUCGGGUACAUAGACUGGGAUCCAUAUGUACCAAAGAUUUUUACCAGAAUUUUGAGGAGUUUAAACCUUCCGGUGGGAAGCAAUCAAGUGGUUGUUCCAAGAUUCUUAACAAAUGCUUAUGAUGUAGGACAUGCAGUAAUGUGGAUCACAGCCAUGAUGGGUGGACCAAGUAAACUAGUGCAGAAGCACUUGUCUGGAUUGUUCAAUAGCAUUGCCUCUUUUUACCAUCCUUCAAAUAAUGGGCGGUGGCUGAACAAACUGAUGAAACUACUUCAAAGGUUACCCAGUGGUGUUGUCAGAAGACUGCAUCGUGAGCGCUACAAGAAAAUGAAUUGGUUAACUCCUGUGCCUGAUAGUCAUAAACUUACUGAUCAGGAUGUUACAGACUUUGUAGAAUGCAUUAUUCAACCUGUUCUUCUGGCUAUGUUCAGUAAAACUGGAAGCCUGGAGGCUGCCCAAGCCCUGCAGAACCUUGCACUGAUGCGUCCUGAAUUAGUAAUUCCACCUGUACUUGAGAAAACAUAUCCUGCACUUGAGACAUUGACAGAACCUCAUCAGCUCACAGCUACUUUAAGCUGUGUAAUUGGAGUAGCUCGUAGUCUGGUGUCUGGUGGGAAGUGGUUUCCUGAAGGUCCAACACACAUGUUACCUCUACUGAUGAGAGCAUUGCCUGGGGUGGAUCCAAAUGACUUCAGCAAAUGUAUGAUUACAUUCCAGUUCAUUGCAACAUUUUCUACUUUGGUGCCUUUAGUAGAUUGUUCAUCUGUAUUGCAAGAAAGAGAUGAUCUUUCAGAGGUGGAAAGAGAAUUGUGCUCUGCAACUGCUGAGUUUGAGGAUUUUGUACUGCAGUUUAUGGAUAGAUGUUUUGGACUUAUAGAGAGCAGCACACUAGAACAAACCAGAGAGGAGACUGAAACUGAGAAAAUGACUCAUCUAGAGAGUCUAGUGGAAUUAGGUCUCUCUUCUACUUUCAGUACAAUCCUUACCCAGUGUUCAAAGGAUAUCUUUAAGGUUGCCUUGGAGAAGGUUUUUAACUUUGCUGUUUCAAAUAUAUUUGAGACGAGAGUUGCUGGUCGAAUGGUUGCCGAUAUGUGCCGAGCUGCAGUAAAAUGCCGCCCUGAGGAAUCCUUGAAGCUGUUUGUACCACAUUGCUGCAAUGUUAUAACUCACCUCACAGUCAAUGAUGAUGUAAUACAUGAUGAAGAACUAGAUAAGGAGCUACUUUGGAAUCUUCAGCUUUUGUCAGAGAUCACUCGAGUGGAUGGAAAGAAGUUGCUACCGUACAGGGAGCAGCUUGGGAAGAUACUGCAGCGAACCCUACAUUUAACCUGUAAGCAGGGUUACAUUCUGUCUUGUAACCUACUGCACCAUCUUCUUCGUUCUGCUACACUUAUCUACCCCACAGAGUACUGCAGUGUGCCAGGUGGCUUUGACAAGCCUCUUUCUGAAUACUUUCCUAUCAAGGACUGGGGUAAACCAGGUGACCUGUGGAACUUGGACAUCCAGUGGCAUGUUCCUUCAUCUGAGGAAAUAAACUUUGCUUUUUAUUUGCUGGAUACUUUUCUUCAGCCUGAGCUCACCAAACUAGAGCACUAUGCAACUGGAAAACUAGAAAUGUCCAGGGUCGCAAGUCUGGUGUCUUUGGAAGAGACAAAACUGUACAGUGGUGUUGAAUAUGAUUUAUCAAGAGAGAAUUAUCGAGAAACAAUUGCAAGGGUUACAAGGAAAUUGCUGCGCUAUAUACUUGAUAAUUCAGAAGAUGAUACCAAGUCUUUAUUUCUAAUAAUAAAGAUUAUUAGUGAUGUUUUACAGUUCCAAGGAUCUCACAAGCAUGAGUUUGAUUCACGAUGGAAAAGCUUUAAUCUAGUGAAAAAGUCAAUGGAGAACAGGCUUCAAGGAAAGAAACAGCAUAUCAGAGCUUUGCUGAUAGACAGAGUUAUGUUGCAGCAUGAGCUGAGAACACUAACGAUGGAAGGCUGUGAAUAUAAAACUUCCCACCAGGAGAUGAUCAGAGAUCUUUUGUGUUUGUCCACAAGUUCAUAUGGUCAGGUCAGAAGUAAAGCUCAGCAAGCAUUUUUCACAGCUUUGGGAACGUACAAUUUUUGUUGCAGAGAUAUCAUUCCCUUGGUUUUGGAGUUCUUGCGUCCAGACCGGCAAGAUGUCACUCAGAAGCAAUUUAAAGGUGCCUUAUAUUGUCUACUUGGAAAUCACAGUGGAGUAUGUUUGGCAAAUCUUCAUGAUUGGGAUUGUAUUGCACAGACAUGGCCAGCAAUUGUUUCUUCUGGUCUUAGCAAAGCUAUGUCCUUGGAAAAACCAUCCAUAGUUAGACUCUUUGAUGACCUAGCAGAAAAAAUCCAUAGGCAGUAUGAAACAAUUGGAUUGGAUUUUGCAGUUCCGGAGAAAUGCAUUGAGAUAGCUGUUAUGCUGCAAAAAUCAGAACAUCCAGGUUCAAACUUCACAGGUCUUCGUUCAGAAGAAAUUCAGUUAGGAAUUCAGCGACAGAAAGAAAAGAAUGCUGAGGCUCUGCGAAACUAUGAAAAUUUGGUCAACAUGCUGCUGGACUGUGUGGAACAAAGAAAUCUUCCCUGGAAGUUCGAGCACAUAAGUAUUGGUUUUCUGUCUCUGCUCCUGAGGGAUGAUAGGAUACUGCCUGUCCGUGCCAUAAAAUUUUUUGUGCAGUGUCUCAACCAUGAUGCAAUUGUAGUUCGUAAGGUGGCCAUCUCAGCUGUGGCUGGUAUUCUUAAGCAGCUUAAGAGAACACACAAGAAAGUGCCCAUCUGCCCUUAUGAAAUAAGUGGAAACCCUAAGCCUUCCAGCAUUCAGGCUGGGGACAGACUGGAUAACCAGUGGCUGCACUAUGACAGUCAGAGUUUACCAAAGACUAAGGAAGCUUGGGAGUCAUGUUGUUUUGUGGAGAAAACACACUGGGGAUAUUAUACCUGGCCUCAAACUAUGACAGUUUAUGCUCCAGUUGAGCAUCAACCAAAGCUUGGGCGAAGGAGAGAUGAGCUGACAGAGGCAGAACAAAUUAUAUAUGAUCACUUUUCUGAUCCCAAGUUUGUUGAGCAGUUAAUAAAAUUUUUGUCUUUAGAAGACAGAAAAGGAAAAGACAAAUUUAAUCCUCGCAGAUUUUGCCUCUUUAAGGGCCUUUUCAGAAACUUUGAUGAUGCCUUCUUGCCAGUUCUUCAGCCCCAUUUAGAACAACUUGUGGCAGACUCCCAUGAAAGCACCCAGAGAUGUGUAGCUGAAAUUAUAGCUGGCUUAAUAAGAGGUUCUAAACACUGGACAUUUGAGAAGGUGGAAAAACUUUGGAAGCUUCUCUGUCCAUUGCUUCGAACAGCUUUAUCCAACAUUACAGUGGAAACGUAUAAUGAUUGGGGCACAUGCAUAGCAACCUCCUGUGAGAGCAGAGAUCCUAGGAAACUGCACUGGUUAUUUGAAUUGCUGUUGGAAUCUCCAUUGAGUGGUGAAGGAGGAUCAUUUGUAGAUGCAUGCCGACUUUAUGUACUGCAAGGUGGCCUUGCACAGCAAGAAUGGAGAGUACCAGAGCUGUUGCACAGACUGCUGAAGUACUUGGAACCUAAACUCACACAGGUUUACAAAAAUGUCCGAGAGAGAAUAGGAAGUGUUCUGACCUACAUAUUCAUGAUAGAUGUUUCCUUGCCAAAUACUGCUGCGACUAAAUCUCCUCGUGUCCAUGAAUUUACUACCCGGAUACUUGAAAAUCUUAAACCCCUCAUGGAAGUAGAUGAAGAAAUUCAGAAUCAUAUUAUGGAAGAGAAUGGAGUUGGUGAACAAGAUGAGCGAACUCAGGGCAUUAAACUCUUGAAAACUAUUCUGAAGUGGCUGAUGGCAAGUGCAGGGCGGUCCUUCUCUACAGCUGUCACAGAGCAACUCCAGCUUUUACCCUUAUUUUUCAAGAUUGCACCGGUAGAAAAUGACAAUAGCUAUGAUGAGCUCAAAAGAGAUGCUAAGAUGUGUUUGUCGUUAAUGUCUCAGGGUUUGCUGUAUCCUCAGCAAGUGCCUUUGGUACUUCAGGUGCUAAAACAAACAGCAAGAAGCAAUUCCUGGCAUGCUAGGUAUACCAUAUUAACCUACCUCCAGACCAUGGUGUUCUACAAUCUCUUUAUCUUUCUCAACAAUGAAGAAGCAGUCAAUGACAUUAGAUGGCUGGUUAUAAAACUCCUGGAAGAUGAACAGCUCGAGGCAAGUAAUACCUUUCUUUUUCUGAAAUGCUUUGUUUCACAUGACUGGUUUCUUGUCCUUGUCAAGUUUUAUGAAAAAGCUACCGGUUGUAAAUUAAUACAGCACGUAUUUCUAGCUUAGCAUUCUUCCUAUUUUGAAAAUAUAAUCAGCUUUAUAGGUUUUAUUUCUUUCAUAUUCCAUUUUUUUUCUUCUAAUAUUCCAUUCCAGGAAAACAGCUGUUUUAAAAAUCACUAAUGAAGUAUCUUCUAAAGUUCCAUUGUUCCUACUUUUUCAACAGAAUGGAACAUUGCUUUGUUUCAUUCUUGGUUUAAGUACAGCUGAAAUAGGGAUAUUAUUUUACUAUAAAUAUUAGCAUGGAUGCUGAUAGCAAAUUCAACUUCCAACAAGGUAAAAUGCAUUCCUGUGUGAAAACUAUAUAAAACCACUAUUUAUUACUCUAUAGGUCUGAUUCCCAUUUAAUUAUAUCAGCUUAUUAAUGACAAAAAUAAGGUUUUUUUAAUACAUCCAGCUCACUAAGGAAGUAUUUCUUUAGUUAUAAGUAGAUUUUCCUAAGUUUUGUGAAAGAUGCAUGCAUAAUAGGACAGAAUUUGUCUAGCAGAUGCUGUUUUUACUGAUGGUGUUAUAUAUUUCAAAAAGAUAAUAGUUUGUAAGCUUACUUGUCAGUCUGACAAGUUUUUGUGCAUCUCUUGAGCCAGUGAUACUUCAGUAUAUGGCAGGAGAUAAAAUCCAAAAUCUUGGCUGCGGUACAUGUGUACUGUUGAAGAUCUGUGUAUGAAUGCACAGUUUGCUCUUAGAAGUGCUAUUGGGAUCAUAAGCUUGUUCUCAGGGGAAAAAAAAAAAAAGGUGCCUGAUGUGAAUCAUUGAGUCUUGUUUGUCAGGCUUCCAAAAGCUGGGGAAAAAUCACAGUAGUACUUUAUUCUGUAUCACUAAUUCACAAAACUGGAGGCUUGUAUUAAGUGAUAUGAAUUUAAAUAUGUUUGAUCAUGUUCAAGCACAGUGAAGCAUCUUUAGUGUUAACCUCUGGUCUGUUCCUUUUCCCCUGUGCCAGCAUUGUCACUGUUUUUUGUGCUGUUGACAAAUAUCAAUGAAAUCCUACUUUUGGGUGCUUGGAUGUUUUUUUCUUUCUAGAAGAAAGAGAAGAUUCUGAAGUGUGAUACCCUUCUGCCAAAACAAAGAUCCUGGUUUAGGUCUUCCUGAAGCUACAUUUAAAACAGUAGUUAUACCUAAGAUGUGAAGCUUGCUUUUGUGAACAGUGAAUUGGAAAUAAUUUGAAUAUAGAAAUUAAAGUUUCUGGCUUAAAAGUUUUGAUAUUACAGUUUCUAAAGAAUGGCACUUAGACUACUCACCCAACCAUGCCAAUUUCAGUCUUGAGAUGAGCUCUCUCUUGUCUUUCGUGUCACUAUUUGUUAUAGCGAACUGGAAAGCAACAGCUUGCAGCUCUAGAUGUCAGAGCACUUACCUCAUAAUCUCACAUAAUUUUGAAAAAUGCCUUUUAUUCACUUUAAUACCAUUUAUCUAGUUAUUUUAAAUGUACAAAAGUACUCCUCUGCACUACAGAGAUGCAAAUCAAAAAAGCUUAUCUAUGUUAAUAACCACUUAUGAUCAUGUUGUUACCAUGGAAGCUUUCAGUUUUCUUUGAAAAGUAGUCUUGUUCUUUCUUGAUAAUAAUUGGCAAGAUACAGUAUCUUGCAGAGCAAUCCCUAUGUAUUUUUUUUUAAUGCUGGAUUUUUAAGAUGAGAAUCCCUAGCUUUAAUUAGUAUUCGGUGUCUUUAUGCUGUAGAGCUGAGAUUUUGGUUCUUGGAUUUAAAGAUACUUUUUUUUUCUGCUUAUCUUGAUACAAAGGUGCCAGACCUAAUGAUCCAGCCCAUCUUGUUCUUUGUUUUAAUAUACAGUUUGCACUUCUAAUAGUGCUAGAAUUACCGUUCUCAAACUUCAUGGUGACUUCAUAUUUUUUCAUAAAAUCAUUGCAACAAACCUCGGCAAAUGACGAUGUCAAAUGACCACGCUGAAUGUCAAAUGGCAAUAUGACUGCAAUACAAAGUGAACAUGGGUCAUAGAACAGUCCGGCUUCUACUGAACGCAAAUUUCAUGCAUCCAACUUUAAGCACAGAUUUCUAGAAUUGAAGAAACCUGUACUUAAAUGAUAUUGUGGGAAAUUCUCCUUCUCAAAGUCAGAGUAGUCAUGGAGCUGAUGGAGUACUAUGAAUGUAACAGCUAAUGUGACCCUGCAGCUGAUAAAGGGAAAAAGUAUAACAGUCCUGAAAAAUAAUGUCUCUGUGUACAGCAGUAUAACCACCACUGAAUAUAAUGUCUAAUUUUCAUGUCAUAUAAGGCAGUUGGAGAGAGCUGCAGGAAUGAUUUGAGUUUGGGAAAGCAUGUUUUGCACUAAAUAAUUCUAUUUACUCAGUCAGAAGUAGAAGAAAAGUGAAUAUGACUGUAUUCAACCUGCAGUUAUGGUUAAAGUGAUAGCCUAGUUAACCUGAAAGCAUCUUUUUCACAGUUUUCUCAGCCAUAAUUUGAUCUAGAAAGCUAUCUGGAUAGGUGCUUCAUAUGUUUAUAUUUUUACAGAUCAGUGUACAGAAUACAUAGCACUCAUGUCUUCAUGAACAUUUUUCAUAUUACACUGCAGUAUUACAGUAAUGGGACUAUUUUCUCUUUGUAUAGGUAGUCCCUUGUAAGUACGCAGUUAGGUUUUGCUUCUGCUGUUGAGUGUUUUUGUUCUGAUAUUGUUACAGUUUUGUAGAUCUUGGUCAGUCAAUUCUGACCAAAAAAAAAAAAAAAACCAAACCACCAAACCCCAUACUUGAUUGGAAGAGUAUUCCUCUGCUACUCCUCUGUAGUUUUUAUGUUCUGUAAGUCAUCAUGUGAGUAUGAUGAUCUGUAAAUUAUUUAGUGUCAGAUGAUUAGCUUGUUAAUGUAUGAUUUUAAAAGCUUUGCUUCUAGGUGCUCCUUGCAGCAAAGUGUUCCUUUUAGUUAGAUUAUUAAUUUAGAAAUGAAAGUGGUUUUAAUACAGUGAAUAGUGAUGUAAAUGAGGACAGUUCACUUGGGAGCUUGCUCACUUUACAGCCAAGCUUCUUUCUAUUCUGGGUCUUGCAUUAGCACAUCAUGUUUCAUUUAAUAGCUUAGUUCUUAAGAGACUCACAAAUUGCUAAUAAACAAUACUGGCAGACUUUCACUUCGUACUUCUUUAUGCUAUUAACAAAAUAGAUCACGUUUGAAUAAUAUGUUGUAGAAAUUUAAAUAGAAUUAAGUGAAGUCUCAGGAGCUUAUUGUUACCUUACUACAUUUAAUUAUUGCAGCACUUGCACCUAUACUUAUUGCUUUGUGGAGGUUCAGAACAUUAUGUUCAAGGAUAUAAUUUAUUAUAAUCUGCUGCACUGGAUUCAGAGCGUUGGUAGGUGUUUGUACUCCAGAUAGACAAAUGUUCCGUUUACAGUUAUGUGUAACAGUAUGUACUUACCAAAAUCUGGUGACUGCUGUCAGCAUUUCAUCAAGUUGAUUUGGUUUUCAAGUUUGUAAAUGUUGGGAGGUUUUUGUCAGCCUGUAAUUAUUGAAAGUGGAAGCGAGUUUUGGAGGGACUCCAGUUUAAAUGUGGUCUUACAGUUCUAUAACUUUAUGGUUUUAGGAGAUUUGAGUAGAUGAGAUAAAUGAGUAAUACUGAUGGGUUAUACUUGCUUUUAAAAGCAAGUGACUGCGUUGUCUCUACUUGUAAUCCACUAACAAUGUGUUGUGGCUGUUUUAAAAGGAAUGGAAAAGGAGAUCUAUAUUUUGAGUGGUUUGGCAAGUAGGUGAAAACUCCUUGUUCUUUGGGGUUUCUGUGUUACCGAAAAGAAGAAUAUUUUUCCAAUCUGGAAUUUUGUUUUUAUUCAUGUAGUGAAAAGAACUGGUACUCGGGACAAAAAAGUAAAUAACGCUGGAGCGUUACAGAGCUGCAUUGUUGACCAUAAACCACUGAAGUUAGUUGUCAUUGCUUAUUAAUCCAGCAUCUGUUGUAUCUCUCAAAGAAUUCUUGUGCUACAGGUAGAACAGAAUCAGCUUUGUCUCAUGAACAUACCUUCCACCUUCUCUUGGAAAAGAUCUUCAGCUUUUGUCAAUUCUAAUGUCCCCGCAUUUGAGGGGGAAAACUAAAUGCUUUUGAACAUACUUUUUUUUUUUCUUGGUAAAACUGAUGUUAAUACAGAGAUUAUUACAAAUUUUGUAAUGCAGGUUGAUUAUUUGGGGUGCCACAUCUUGUUCUCAUUCAAAGUCUGUUUUUAAACUUUCUAAAGCUAAUCUAGUCUGUGAUAUAUAUGUCUUGAUGGUGGAGUUAAAUUACAGUAUUUGCUUGAGUAGUAGGUCACUUUAUGACAGAUUAUGUAAACGUAGUUCUAUAUUACAAUAGUACUAUGUUUAUUAAUUUGUGAAGAGCCAUAUAGUAAACUAGUAGUAGUUUAUGAUCUAUGAGAAAACAGGAUAAUACUCUAAAGACUUUUCUUGGGCAGUUUGGUAACUUGGCCUAGCUGGAUGUGCUUAAAAGGAUAGGAAUAGCAUAAAUAUCUCUUUCUUGCAGUGCAUGUGUGCUUAGUAAUUGUGGUAUGUACUAUCUCUGCUCGUAGGUGAGAGAAAUGGCUGCUACCACACUAAGUGGUCUGCUACAGUGCAAUUUUCUCACUAUGGAUGGGCCCAUGCAGACCCAUUUUGAACAGCUGUGCAAGAUGAGGUUACCAAAAAAACGAAAGCGAGACCUGGGUUCAGUGAUGGAUACAAUUCCUUCUGGUGACUUGGUUAAACGCCAUGCUGGUGUACUAGGACUUAGUGCAUGUAUUUUGUCAAGUCCGUAUGACGUACCCACCUGGAUGCCACAGCUCUUGAUGGAUCUCAGUGCCCAUCUUAAUGAUCCUCAGCCUAUUGAGAUGACUGUGAAAAAAACGCUGUCAAAUUUCCGGAGGACCCAUCACGACAACUGGCAGGAGCAUAAACAGCAGUUCACAGAUGACCAGCUACUAGUGCUUACUGACCUCUUGGUUUCACCAUGCUAUUAUGCAUAGAUAGGUUUUUCCUGGAGAAAUGAGGAUGUAGGAACCUUUCUGCAAAAUAAAGGAAACUCAAAGAAAUUUAUCAUGUAGAAAACUUUGUGUUGGAAGUCCUGAUGCCUAAUCAAAGCCACUUUUAAAUACAAACCUAAAGACCUGGUUCUAUUCAAAAAGCAUUUCACCUCCCCAGGGAGCAGCUGUGGGAACCCCACAGUCUCUUUCUAACUGCACUUGCAGAGCCUGAUUGUGAGUUUACUGCAAGACCCUUCUCAUUGGCCUGCGUUACACAUCAGUCUUGUUUCUGCUUUCUUGCACACGGUGACUUACACUGCACGUUUCUUAUCCUCUUUUUCUGACCCUUCUUCCCAGCUGUUUCUGACAUCAAAGAUAUGCAGAACCAGAGUGUGCUGCAACCCUGAAUAUUCUCAGUGAAGCUCUCCAAUUCUGUUGAUGCAACUUGUUACCUAGUCAGCAUACAAUACCAGGAACCUAUCUUUCUCAGAGUUUAUUUUUCACUACUUGGAUUUGAGUGCCCAUCAGGUGAUGGGCUCUGUAUCAUUCAGUCCACCUCAGGGCAGGAUUGCCUUUUUGUAUCUUCCUUGUCAAAAUGUAAAUAGCUGAUUUUCUCUGUGCAGUAUAGAUGAUGGCAGGACAAAACAUGGGGAGUGAAAGCUCUUACUGUCUGGCCAGGUCUUCAUAGAUAGCUUGACCACGUGUGGAAUAAAAAUCUAUGAUUAUCUGCAUAUUUUUAAGGGUGAAGGACUAUGGGUGUUUCCACAUCAUUAGAGCCCACAGAUAUGAAAUUAUGGACUAUCAAGUGAUGGGUGAAUUCACAGAAUGAAAUGUAUGCACAGUGUGAAAAGGCACUGAAUGGCUGACUAUUUUUAACAGCGUAUUCUCAUAAAGAUUGUCACUGUUUGAGCAAGCGUAUCUUCUUCGAAGAUUGUGGAAGCUCUAUAUUUUUUUGCCUGCAGCUUUGUUCAGAGACUGGUAUCUAUUGGCUAUUUAACAACAUGUUUAAUAUGUGUUACAUAGUUGUAAAAGACUGUAUAAAUUGUAGAGGCAUUGCGUUGACAAAACAUUGUACAGUUUGCAACCUUUUACAUAACACCAUUGUGAGAUUAAUUUGUAAAGAUUCAUACUUAGAUGUUAAUAUGGUAGUAGUUCUGGCUUUUGUAUCAAAUCAAAUGCCAUUAUUAGUUUUUUAAAUUAUUUUCUUUAACAGAAUAUCUCUUCAUGUCUGAAAAGCAGAGGUUUUGUUUUGGUUUUCUUGUAUCUCAUUAUUACUAUGUCUCAUUCAGAUUUUUAUGCAACACUUGUGGCCAUCUCUAAAUGCUGACAUCACAUAUUUUGGUGUGAUAAGCUCAUAGAAUGUGAGGUACAUAGAAAUAAUUCAUAAACUGGUGUGUGUUUCCACUUUCAUGCAACCCUACAGGAGCACUGAUACAUUUCAAGUGAUCUACCUGCUGAGUGUGUGACUCAUUCCAAACUUCAAAGCACAGCAGUGUUCCUGGUGCAGUAUUUAAUGAGUGUCAGCACACAGAUGUAACCACUGUAUAGCGUAGUGCCAAAAUUAUUAUUUCAAUUGUGUACGUAGUUUAAGACCCAAUAAAUGGACUGUUUGUAA
Harpia harpyja (harpy eagle) is the source of this 11691-nucleotide RNA transcript. It is a transcript of the gene named proteasome activator subunit 4, with no coding region annotated. The record is from RefSeq and is a predicted model, not a curated record. NCBI's taxonomy places the organism in Eukaryota, Metazoa, Chordata, Aves, Accipitriformes, Accipitridae. The transcript is spliced from 45 exons.